Molecule: ribosomal RNA, 2199 nt
Filed under: Escherichia coli
Lineage: Bacteria; Pseudomonadati; Pseudomonadota; Gammaproteobacteria; Enterobacterales; Enterobacteriaceae
Description: bacterial LSU rRNA
Rfam family: Bacterial large subunit ribosomal RNA
Source: RNAcentral
AAUGGGUCAGCGACUUAUAUUCUGUAGCAAGGUUAACCGAAUAGGGGAGCCGAAGGGAAACCGAGUCUUAACUGGGCGUUAAGUUGCAGGGUAUAGACCCGAAACCCGGUGAUCUAGCCAUGGGCAGGUUGAAGGUUGGGUAACACUAACUGGAGGACCGAACCGACUAAUGUUGAAAAAUUAGCGGAUGACUUGUGGCUGGGGGUGAAAGGCCAAUCAAACCGGGAGAUAGCUGGUUCUCCCCGAAAGCUAUUUAGGUAGCGCCUCGUGAAUUCAUCUCCGGGGGUAGAGCACUGUUUCGGCAAGGGGGUCAUCCCGACUUACCAACCCGAUGCAAACUGCGAAUACCGGAGAAUGUUAUCACGGGAGACACACGGCGGGUGCUAACGUCCGUCGUGAAGAGGGAAACAACCCAGACCGCCAGCUAAGGUCCCAAAGUCAUGGUUAAGUGGGAAACGAUGUGGGAAGGCCCAGACAGCCAGGAUGUUGGCUUAGAAGCAGCCAUCAUUUAAAGAAAGCGUAAUAGCUCACUGGUCGAGUCGGCCUGCGCGGAAGAUGUAACGGGGCUAAACCAUGCACCGAAGCUGCGGCAGCGACGCUUAUGCGUUGUUGGGUAGGGGAGCGUUCUGUAAGCCUGCGAAGGUGUGCUGUGAGGCAUGCUGGAGGUAUCAGAAGUGCGAAUGCUGACAUAAGUAACGAUAAAGCGGGUGAAAAGCCCGCUCGCCGGAAGACCAAGGGUUCCUGUCCAACGUUAAUCGGGGCAGGGUGAGUCGACCCCUAAGGCGAGGCCGAAAGGCGUAGUCGAUGGGAAACAGGUUAAUAUUCCUGUACUUGGUGUUACUGCGAAGGGGGGACGGAGAAGGCUAUGUUGGCCGGGCGACGGUUGUCCCGGUUUAAGCGUGUAGGCUGGUUUUCCAGGCAAAUCCGGAAAAUCAAGGCUGAGGCGUGAUGACGAGGCACUACGGUGCUGAAGCAACAAAUGCCCUGCUUCCAGGAAAAGCCUCUAAGCAUCAGGUAACAUCAAAUCGUACCCCAAACCGACACAGGUGGUCAGGUAGAGAAUACCAAGGCGCUUGAGAGAACUCGGGUGAAGGAACUAGGCAAAAUGGUGCCGUAACUUCGGGAGAAGGCACGCUGAUAUGUAGGUGAAGCGACUUGCUCGUGGAGCUGAAAUCAGUCGAAGAUACCAGCUGGCUGCAACUGUUUAUUAAAAACACAGCACUGUGCAAACACGAAAGUGGACGUAUACGGUGUGACGCCUGCCCGGUGCCGGAAGGUUAAUUGAUGGGGUCAGCGCAAGCGAAGCUCUUGAUCGAAGCCCCGGUAAACGGCGGCCGUAACUAUAACGGUCCUAAGGUAGCGAAAUUCCUUGUCGGGUAAGUUCCGACCUGCACGAAUGGCGUAAUGAUGGCCAGGCUGUCUCCACCCGAGACUCAGUGAAAUUGAACUCGCUGUGAAGAUGCAGUGUACCCGCGGCAAGACGGAAAGACCCCGUGAACCUUUACUAUAGCUUGACACUGAACAUUGAGCCUUGAUGUGUAGGAUAGGUGGGAGGCUUGGAAGUGUGGACGCCAGUCUGCAUGGAGCCGACCUUGAAAUACCACCCUUUAAUGUUUGAUGUUCUAACGUUGACCCGUAAUCCGGGUUGCGGACAGUGUCUGGUGGGUAGUUUGACUGGGGCGGUCUCCUCCUAAAGAGUAACGGAGGAGCACGAAGGUUGGCUAAUCCUGGUCGGACAUCAGGAGGUUAGUGCAAUGGCAUAAGCCAGCUUGACUGCGAGCGUGACGGCGCGAGCAGGUGCGAAAGCAGGUCAUAGUGAUCCGGUGGUUCUGAAUGGAAGGGCCAUCGCUCAACGGAUAAAAGGUACUCCGGGGAUAACAGGCUGAUACCGCCCAAGAGUUCAUAUCGACGGCGGUGUUUGGCACCUCGAUGUCGGCUCAUCACAUCCUGGGGCUGAAGUAGGUCCCAAGGGUAUGGCUGUUCGCCAUUUAAAGUGGUACGCGAGCUGGGUUUAGAACGUCGUGAGACAGUUCGGUCCCUAUCUGCCGUGGGCGCUGGAGAACUGAGGGGGGCUGCUCCUAGUACGAGAGGACCGGAGUGGACGCAUCACUGGUGUUCGGGUUGUCAUGCCAAUGGCACUGCCCGGUAGCUAAAUGCGGAAGAGAUAAGUGCUGAAAGCAUCUAAGCACGAAACUUGCC